UGGGGAAUAUUGCACAAUGGGCGAAAGCCUGAUGCAGCGACGCCGCGUGAGGGAUGACGGCCUUCGGGUUGUAAACCUCUUUCAGCAGGGAAGAAGCGAAAGUGACGGUACCUGCAGAAGAAGCGCCGGCUAACUACGUGCCAGCAGCCGCGGUAAUACGUAGGGCGCAAGCGUUGUCCGGAAUUAUUGGGCGUAAAGAGCUCGUAGGCGGUUAGUCGCGUCUGCUGUGAAAACUCGAGGCUCGACCUCGGGCUUGCAGUGGGUACGGGCCGACUAGAGUGCGGUAGGGGUGACUGGAAUUCCUGGUGUAGCGGUGGAAUGCGCAGAUAUCAGGAGGAACACCGAUGGCGAAGGCAGGUCACUGGGCCGCAACUGACGCUGAGGAGCGAAAGCAUGGGGAGCGAACAGGAUUAGAUACCCUGGUAGUCCAUGCCGUAAACGUUGGGCACUAGGUGUGGGGUCCAUUCCACGGAUUCCGUGCCGCAGCAAACGCAUUAAGUGCUCCGCCUGGAGAGUACGGCCGCAAGGCUAAAACUCAAAUGAAUUGACGGGGUCAUAGCUGUUUCCU
This 568-nucleotide ribosomal RNA is filed under the name uncultured bacterium. RNAcentral's name for it is "partial 16S ribosomal RNA". It matches the Rfam family "Bacterial small subunit ribosomal RNA", at positions 355 to 1375 of the family's 1533-position model. The record is from RNAcentral.